AAUACCCGAUAGGUCUCGAUUGCUGGAAUGCAUCGAGAUUUAAAGCUCCGGCGCCUAAGGAUGGGUCUGCGGCCUAUCAGGUAGUAGUGGGUGUAGCGUACCUACUAGCCUACGACGGGUACGGGUUGUGAGAGCAAGAGCCCGGAGAUGGAUUCUGAGACACGAAUCCAGGCCCUACGGGGUGCAGCAGGCGCGAAAACUUUACAAUGCUGGCAACAGCGAUAAGGGAACCUCGAGUGCCAGGUUACAAAUCUGGCUGUCGAGAUGCCUAAAAAGCAUUUCAUAGCAAGGGCCGGGCAAGACCGGUGCCAGCCGCCGCGGUAACACCGGCGGCUCGAGUGGUAACCGUUAUUAUUGGGUCUAAAGGGUCUGUAGCCGGCCGGAUAAGUCUCUUGAGAAAUCUGGCAGCUUAACUGUCAGGCUUUCAGGAGAUACUGUCUGGCUCGAGGCCGGGAGAGGUGAGAGGUACUUCAGGGGUAGGGGUGAAAUCUUGUAAUCCUUGAAGGACCACCAGUGGCGAAGGCGUCUCACCAGAACGGACCUGACGGCAAGGGACGAAAGCUAGGGGCACGAACCGGAUUAGAUACCCGGGUAGUCCUAGCCGUAAACGAUACUCGCUAGGUGUCGGCCACGGUGCGACCGUUGUCGGUGCCGUAGGGAAGCCGUGAAGCGAGCCACCUGGGAAGUACGGCCGCAAGGCUGAAACUUAAAGGAAUUGGCGGGGGAGCACCACAACGGGUGGAGC
RNAcentral lists this ribosomal RNA (745 nucleotides) under uncultured Methanosaeta sp. Its description in RNAcentral is "bacterial SSU rRNA". It matches the Rfam family "Archaeal small subunit ribosomal RNA", at positions 148 to 894 of the family's 1478-position model. Lineage: Archaea; Methanobacteriati; Methanobacteriota; Methanomicrobia; Methanotrichales; Methanotrichaceae. The record is from RNAcentral.